RNAcentral lists this ribosomal RNA (253 nucleotides) under uncultured bacterium. Its description in RNAcentral is "partial 16S ribosomal RNA". It matches the Rfam family "Bacterial small subunit ribosomal RNA", at positions 524 to 776 of the family's 1533-position model. The record is from RNAcentral.
UACGUAGGGUGCAAGCGUUAAUCGGAAUUACUGGGCGUAAAGCGUGCGCAGGCGGUUCGCUAAGACAGAUGUGUAAUCCCCGGGCUUAACCUGGGAACUGCAUUUGUGACUGGCGGGCUAGAGUAUGGCAGAGGGGGGUAGAAUUCCACGUGUAGCAGUGAAAUGCGUAGAGAUGUGGAGGAACACCGAUGGCGAAGGCAGCCCCCUGGGCCAACACUGACGCUCAGGCACGAAAGCGUGGGGAGCAAACAGG